UGGCGGCGUGCCUAAUACAUGCAAGUCGAACGGUCUUUCUAUGGAAGCUUGCUUCCACUGAAAGAUAGUGGCGAACGGGUGAGUAACACGUGGGUAACCUGCCCAUAAGAGGGGGGAUAACAUCCGGAAACGGGUGCUAAUACCGCAUAGUUUUCUUGAUUGCAUGAUUGAGAAAGGAAAGACGGCCUUUGUGCUGUCGCUUAUGGAUGGACCCGCGGCGUAUUAGUUAGUUGGUGAGGUAACGGCUCACCAAGACGAUGAUACGUAGCCGACCUGAGAGGGUGAUCGGCCACAUUGGGACUGAGACACGGCCCAAACUCCUACGGGAGGCAGCAGUAGGGAAUCUUCCGCAAUGGACGAAAGUCUGACGGAGCAACGCCGCGUGAGUGAAAGAAGGUUUUCGGAUCGUAAAACUCUGUUGUCAGAGAAGAACAAGUUGGAGAGUAACUGCUCCAGCCUUGACGGUAUCUGACCAGAAAGCCACGGCUAACUACGUGCCAGCCGCCGC
Molecule: ribosomal RNA, 508 nt
Filed under: uncultured bacterium
Lineage: Bacteria
Description: bacterial SSU rRNA
Rfam family: Bacterial small subunit ribosomal RNA
Source: RNAcentral